RNAcentral lists this ribosomal RNA (484 nucleotides) under uncultured bacterium. RNAcentral's name for it is "partial 16S ribosomal RNA". It matches the Rfam family "Bacterial small subunit ribosomal RNA", at positions 30 to 507 of the family's 1533-position model. The record is from RNAcentral.
AUUGAACGCUGGCGGCAGGCCUAACACAUGCAAGUCGAGCGGAUGAAGGGAGCUUGCUCCUGGAUUCAGCGGCGGACGGGUGAGUAAUGCCUAGGAAUCUGCCUGGUAGUGGGGGAUAACGUCCGGAAACGGGCGCUAAUACCGCAUACGUCCUGAGGGAGAAAGUGGGGGAUCUUCGGACCUCACGCUAUCAGAUGAGCCUAGGUCGGAUUAGCUAGUUGGUGGGGUAAAGGCCUACCAAGGCGACGAUCCGUAACUGGUCUGAGAGGAUGAUCAGUCACACUGGAACUGGGAGACGGUCCAGACUCCUACGGGAGGCAGCCGUGGGGAAUAUUGGACAAUGGGAGAAAGCCUGAACCAUCCAUGCCGCGUGUGUGAAGAAGGUCUUCGGAUUGUAAAGCACUUUAAGUUGGGAGGAAGGGAAGUAAGUUAAUACCUUGCUGUUUUGACGUUACCAUCAGAAAAAGCCCCGGCUAACUUCGGU